This 310-nucleotide unclassified non-coding RNA is filed under the name Hevea brasiliensis (rubber tree). Lineage: Eukaryota; Viridiplantae; Streptophyta; Magnoliopsida; Malpighiales; Euphorbiaceae. The record is from RNAcentral.
AAAAAAAAAAACAACUUAAGAAAUGUGUAAAGCUGGAAUCUGCUCUACCUUUUUACAUUGUUUGAGCCUCUGCUUCAACAAUUGGUAGGCAUUCUCAGCAGAUGCAUAAAUGAUUACCUAGAGUGCUUCACAAUGGAGAAUGUAGAGGUCGAAGACAUGUAAAGCUUAAAUCACGCAGAGUCAAUUUGUUUACAUCCCCCAAUUUCUUUGUUUUCGGCUACAUCAACACCUUUUUUUUCUUUUUUUCCAACUGAGUGACAGUUCCUUACAGGUUUUGUGAAGAUUUUCCACAUAAUUAUCAUAGAAAGAU